CUUUUACGUUUUGACGGACACCUUCACAGGUGCUUCUUGGUUGGCUGUUUUUGGCCGUAAAUAAACAAAAAUUAUUGUGGCUACUGUUAGGGGAAGCUAACGCAUUAAUCCCAAUUUACUGGAAGCAAAUUGAUGUUCCUACAAUAGACACUAUAUAAAGGGUGUGGUAGAGGCAAAAAAAUGCCUACAAAAUUCAAAAUAUAAACAAAUAAAAAAUUAGACCUGUGCUGCAGAUACUCCACACUGAAGUCCCAACAGUGUAUAUACA
Pelobates cultripes (western spadefoot toad) is the source of this 268-nucleotide non-coding RNA. The record is from the annotation of a GenBank genome assembly. NCBI's taxonomy places the organism in Eukaryota, Metazoa, Chordata, Amphibia, Anura, Pelobatidae.